Long non-coding RNA from Mastomys coucha (southern multimammate mouse), 279 nucleotides. RefSeq lists it as uncharacterized. NCBI's taxonomy places the organism in Eukaryota, Metazoa, Chordata, Mammalia, Rodentia, Muridae. The transcript is spliced from 2 exons. The record is from RefSeq and is a predicted model, not a curated record.
AGGCUGGUCCCCUGCAUGAAACUAGCUACAGUGACUCACAGAUUCAACAGAAACACCAUCAAAAUUUCAAAGAACAAUGAAGAGUAAUUCACAUGUUAUCACAGAAGGCCUGAAUAACCAAAGCAUUCCCCAGCACUAUAGCAACAAAAUCAGCAUGGUGGAAUCUGUGCAGUUACAUGUUGGAGUUGAGGAUUUGAGCUCUGCUUCCUGCUGAGACCACCAUGAUUGGCCCUUGACAUCUGGAAUCAUAUGUCCAAAUAAAGUGUCUUUCUUAUGUUG